Molecule: ribosomal RNA, 423 nt
Filed under: uncultured bacterium
Lineage: Bacteria
Description: partial 16S ribosomal RNA
Rfam family: Bacterial small subunit ribosomal RNA
Source: RNAcentral
UGGGGAAUAUUGCACAAUGGGCGCAAGCCUGAUGCAGCCAUGCCGCGUGUAUGAAGAAGGCCUUCGGGUUGUAAAGUACUUUCAGCGAGGAGGAAGGCGGUAAGGUUAAUAACCUUAUCGAUUGACGUUACUCGCAGAAGAAGCACCGGCUAACUCCGUGCCAGCAGCCGCGGUAAUACGGAGGGUGCAAGCGUUAAUCGGAAUUACUGGGCGUAAAGCGCACGCAGGCGGUCUGUCAAGUCGGAUGUGAAAUCCCCGGGCUCAACCUGGGAACUGCAUUCGAAACUGGCAGGCUAGAGUCUUGUAGAGGGGGGUAGAAUUCCAGGUGUAGCGGUGAAAUGCGUAGAGAUCUGGAGGAAUACCGGUGGCGAAGGCGGCCCCCUGGACAAAGACUGACGCUCAGGUGCGAAAGCGUGGGGAGCA